CAGGGGUUGGAAUCAUGAUGCUGUGGCCCCUGCAGCGUCUAAGCGGGCGAUCACGGGGAUCUCCACACGCCCGCCGGUAUAGCCGCGCCACUAUUAAAGUAGGCCGCUGGAUGAAGCUCGCAUUGCUUCCAGCGCUCCGAAUUUUAUGUGUAGUGACGCGCCGCACGCCGUGGAGGGGUGAAGCAUGUUGGACUUGCUUCAGAAGGUGCGGAACGCCG
Molecule: non-coding RNA, 218 nt
Filed under: unclassified sequences
Description: PAGEV RNA
Rfam family: PAGEV RNA
Source: Rfam by way of RNAcentral